CAUCUCUUCCUUGUAGUUCUCAUCGAUUGAGAAUUCACCUUAAAACCUAUGUUUCAACCGAUGUGAAGGAAAAAAGAAGAUUAGGAAGAAGAAAUGGCAAGAUGCUAUCUUACGGGAUCAGUUGUACCGAAGUGGAUCAUUUGUAUUAUUUAGAAUAUACCCACACAAAGCUCAUUCAACUUUCGGUGAUGGAGGAGUAUGCCAACGCUCUAACAAAUGGAAUUCCUAAUAUUUUAGUAUGUCAACAUUUUGACUAAUAUUUUUUAAGUUGGAUGUUAUGAAUGAAUGAUAGUUGAGUUGGAUUUUUAUCAUUUAUCAAUGCACAUCGAUUUCUUGAUUUUUGUUGAA
Long non-coding RNA from Papaver somniferum (opium poppy), 348 nucleotides. RefSeq lists it as uncharacterized. NCBI's taxonomy places the organism in Eukaryota, Viridiplantae, Streptophyta, Magnoliopsida, Ranunculales, Papaveraceae. The record is from RefSeq and is a predicted model, not a curated record. The transcript is spliced from 2 exons.